UUGCUUUUGAAGAUCAGCGGCGGACGGGUGAGUAACACGUGGGCAACCUGCCUGUAAGACUGGGAUAACUUCGGGAAACCGGAGCUAAUACCGGAUAAUCCUUUUCCUCUCAUGAGGAAAAGCUGAAAGACGGUUUCGGCUGUCACUUACAGAUGGGCCCGCGGCGCAUUAGCUAGUUGGUGAGGUAACGGCUCACCAAGGCGACGAUGCGUAGCCGACCUGAGAGGGUGAUCGGCCACACUGGGACUGAGACACGGCCCAGACUCCUACGGGAGGCAGCAGUAGGGAAUCUUCCGCAAUGGACGAAAGUCUGACGGAGCAACGCCGCGUGAGCGAUGAAGGCCUUCGGGUCGUAAAGCUCUGUUGUCAGGGAAGAACAAGUAUCGGAGUAACUGCCGGUACCUUGACGGUACCUGACCAGAAAGCCACGGCUAACUACGUGCCAGCAGCCGCGGUAAUACGUAGGUGGCAAGCGUUGUCCGGAAUUAUUGGGCGUAAAGCGCGCGCAGGCGGUUCCUUAAGUCUGAUGUGAAAGCCCCCGGCUCAACCGGGGAGGGUCAUUGGAAACUGGGGAACUUGAGUGCAGAAGAGGAGAGCGGAAUUCCACGUGUAGCGGUGAAAUGCGUAGAGAUGUGGAGGAACACCAGUGGCGAAGGCGGCUCUCUGGUCUGUAACUGACGCUGAGGCGCGAAAGCGUG
Molecule: ribosomal RNA, 698 nt
Filed under: Mesobacillus subterraneus
Lineage: Bacteria; Bacillati; Bacillota; Bacilli; Caryophanales; Bacillaceae
Description: bacterial SSU rRNA
Rfam family: Bacterial small subunit ribosomal RNA
Source: RNAcentral